UACAGAGGGGGCGAGCGUUGUUCGGAAUUACUGGGCGUAAAGGGCGCGUAGGCGGCCUGCUAAGUCAUACGUGAAAUCCCUCGGCUCAACCGAGGAACUGCGUCUGAUACUGGUUGGCUUGAAUUCGGGAGAGGGAUGCGGAAUUCCAGGUGUAGCGGUGAAAUGCGUAGAUAUCUGGAGGAACACCGGUGGCGAAGGCGGUAUCCUGGACCGAGAUUGACGCUGAUGCGCGAAAGCCAGGGGAGCAAACGGG
This 253-nucleotide ribosomal RNA is filed under the name uncultured bacterium. RNAcentral describes it as "partial 16S ribosomal RNA". It matches the Rfam family "Bacterial small subunit ribosomal RNA", at positions 524 to 776 of the family's 1533-position model. The record is from RNAcentral.